GUCCACGCCGUAAACGAUGUCUGCUAGCCGUGGGGGUCCUUGAGGCCUCGGUGGCGCAGCUAACGCGAUAAGCAGACCGCCUGGGGAGUACGGCCGCAAGGUUAAAACUCAAAUGAAUUGACGGGGGCCCGCACAAGCGGUGGAGCAUGUGGUUUAAUUCGAUGCAACGCGAAGAACCUUACCAGGUCUUGACAUCCAGCGAACUGCCCAGAGAUGGGCGGGUGCCUUCGGGAACGCUGAGACAGGUGCUGCAUGGCUGUCGU
This 263-nucleotide ribosomal RNA is filed under the name uncultured bacterium. RNAcentral's name for it is "partial 16S ribosomal RNA". It matches the Rfam family "Bacterial small subunit ribosomal RNA", at positions 793 to 1055 of the family's 1533-position model. The record is from RNAcentral.